GACGAACGCUGGCGGCGUGCUUAACACAUGCAAGUCGAACGGAAAGGCCCUGCUUGCAGGGUACUCGAGUGGCGAACGGGUGAGUAACACGUGGGUGAUCUGCCCCGCACUUCGGGAUAAGCCUGGGAAACUGGGUCUAAUACCGGAUAGGAGCCAUUUUUAGUGUGAUGGUUGGAAAGUUUUUUCGGUGUAGGAUGAGCUCGCGGCCUAUCAGCUUGUUGGUGGGGUAAUGGCCUACCAAGGCGGCGACGGGUAGCCGGCCUGAGAGGGUGGACGGCCACAUUGGGACUGAGAUACGGCCCAGACUCCUACGGGAGGCAGCAGUGGGGAAUAUUGCACAAUGGGCGCAAGCCUGAUGCAGCGACGCCGCGUGGGGGAUGACGGCCUUCGGGUUGUAAACUCCUUUCGCUAGGGACGAAGCUUUUGUGACGGUACCUAGAGAAGAAGCACCGGCUAACUACGUG
This 464-nucleotide ribosomal RNA is filed under the name uncultured bacterium. Its description in RNAcentral is "partial 16S ribosomal RNA". It matches the Rfam family "Bacterial small subunit ribosomal RNA", at positions 28 to 507 of the family's 1533-position model. The record is from RNAcentral.